UACGUAGGCAGCAAGCGUUGUUCGGAAUUACUGGGCGUAAAGCGUGUGUAGGCUGUUCUGUAAGUUUGGUGUGAAAUCUCCCGGCUUAACUGGGAGGGUGCGCCGAAAACUGCAGGGCUUGAGUACGGGAGAGGAGAGCGGAAUUCCUGGUGUAGCGGUGAAAUGCGUAGAUAUCAGGAGGAACACCCGUGGCGAAGGCGGCUCUCUGGACCGUAACUGACGCUGAGACACGAAAGCGUGGGGAGCAAACAGG
Molecule: ribosomal RNA, 253 nt
Filed under: uncultured bacterium
Lineage: Bacteria
Description: partial 16S ribosomal RNA
Rfam family: Bacterial small subunit ribosomal RNA
Source: RNAcentral